GCUGGGCAUGGUGGUGCACACCUGUAAUCCCAGCAGUUUAGGAGGCUAAGGCAGGAGGAUCAUAAGUUUGAGGCCAGCUUCAGCAAUUUGUCAAGCCCUAAGCAACUUAGUGAGACCCUGUCUCAA
Molecule: small RNA, 126 nt
Filed under: Marmota monax (woodchuck)
Lineage: Eukaryota; Metazoa; Chordata; Mammalia; Rodentia; Sciuridae
Source: RNAcentral